Molecule: transfer RNA, 73 nt
Organism: Ovis aries (sheep)
Lineage: Eukaryota; Metazoa; Chordata; Mammalia; Artiodactyla; Bovidae
Rfam family: tRNA
About the family: Transfer RNA (tRNA) molecules are approximately 80 nucleotides in length.
Source: Rfam
UUCCUGGUGGUCCAGUGGUUAAGAAUUGGCGCUUUCACUGCUGUGGGCCCAGGUUCAAUCCCUGGUCAGGGAA